RNAcentral lists this ribosomal RNA (301 nucleotides) under uncultured bacterium. RNAcentral describes it as "partial 16S ribosomal RNA". It matches the Rfam family "Bacterial small subunit ribosomal RNA", at positions 509 to 809 of the family's 1533-position model. The record is from RNAcentral.
CAGUCGCCACGGUAAAACGAAGGGUGCAAGCGUUAAUCGGAAUUACUGGGCGUAAAGCGUGCGUAGGCGGUGAGUUAAGUCUGCUGUGAAAUCCCCGGGCUCAACCUGGGAAUGGCAGUGGAUACUGGCUCGCUAGAGUGUGUCAGAGGAUGGUGGAAUUCCCGGUGUAGCGGUGAAAUGCGUAGAGAUCGGGAGGAACAUCAGUGGCGAAGGCGGCCAUCUGGGACAACACUGACGCUGAGGCACGAAAGCGUGGGGAGCAAACAGGAUUAGAUACCCGCGUAGUCCCUGUCUCUUAUAU